UACGUAGGGUGCAAGCGUUAAUCGGAAUUACUGGGCGUAAAGCGUGCGCAGGCGGUGAUGUAAGACAGGUGUGAAAUCCCCGGGCUUAACCUGGGAACUGCAUUUGUGACUGCAUCGCUGGAGUGCGGCAGAGGGGGAUGGAAUUCCGCGUGUAGCAGUGAAAUGCGUAGAUAUGCGGAGGAACACCGAUGGCGAAGGCAGCCCCCUGGGUUAACACUGACGCUCAGGCACGAAAGCGUGGGGAGCAAACAGG
Molecule: ribosomal RNA, 253 nt
Filed under: uncultured bacterium
Lineage: Bacteria
Description: partial 16S ribosomal RNA
Rfam family: Bacterial small subunit ribosomal RNA
Source: RNAcentral